AAGAGCGGAGAGGAACGCUUGAAAGAAAUGGAGGCGGAGAUGGCCCUGUUUGAGCAAGAAGUAUUGGGAGCUCUGGUGACCGGAAUCCCAACUGCUGUGCCUGCGGUGCCCACGGUAGAAGCGAUGCAGGGGCCCCCAGCUCCUGUGAUCCGCCCAAUUAUCGCCACCAACACAUACCAACAGGUCCAACAGACUCUGGAGGCCCGGGCAGCUGCUGCGGCCACAGUAGUCCCUCCUAUGGUGGGAGGCCCUCCUUUUGUGGGCCCAGUUGGCUUUGGCCCUGCCGAUCGUGGUCACCUGGAUAGUCCCGAGACUCGAGAGGCCAUGUUCCUGAGGCGAGCAGCUGUGGCCCCUCAGAGGGCCCCUAUCCUGCGUCCUGCCUUCAUCCCCCACGUGCUCUCUAGACGAGCUCCGACAGGCAAGGCAGCUGCAUCAGGGAAAGGGGAGCCCAGGAAGGCCUUCUCCAGCUCAAUAAGACCCGCCAACAUAGGCCGUGUUCACACCAAGACUGCAAAGAAGGCAGUCCGGGUCAUCAUCAAGAAGUACUACACAUCCCUGAGGAGCGACUGCCACACCAACAAGAGCGUGCGAGGAGAACACCAUUAUCCCCAGCAAGAGACUUCAAAACAAGAUAGCCUGCUAUGUCACACCUCGGAUGAAGCGGAUGCAGAGAGGUUCUGUGAGAGCUAUCUCUAUCAGGUUGCCAGAAGAGGAAAGAGAAAGGGGAGAGAGUUGUGUUCCUGAGGUCUCAGCCCGAGAUCAGGAGAUCACUGAGGUAGAUCCUGACACCAAGGAAAUGCUGAAGCAUCGAGACUUUGGCCAUCUCUCUAACCUUCAGAUUACCCUACAGCCUACAGUUGGGUUGAAUUUCAAAACACCACGUGGAGCUGUUUAA
This is an RNA transcript of Mastomys coucha (southern multimammate mouse), 895 nucleotides long. RefSeq lists it as uncharacterized. The record is from RefSeq and is a predicted model, not a curated record. Lineage: Eukaryota; Metazoa; Chordata; Mammalia; Rodentia; Muridae. The transcript has 3 exons.